GAUCCUGGCUCAGAUUGAACGCUGGCGGCAUGCUUUACACAUGCAAGUCGAACGGCAGCACAGGGAGCUUGCUCCCGGGUGGCGAGUGGCGCACGGGUGAGUAAUACAUCGGAACGUGUCCUGUUGUGGGGGAUAACUGCUCGAAAGGGUGGCUAAUACCGCAUGAGACCUGAGGGUGAAAGCGGGGGAUCGCAAGACCUCGCGCAAUUGGAGCGGCCGAUGCCCGAUUAGCUUGUUGGCGGGGUAACGGCCCACCAAGGCGACGAUCAGUAGGGGUUCUGAGAGGAAGGUCCCCCCACAUUGGAACUGAGACACGGUCCAAACUCCUACGGGAGGCAGCAGUGAGGAAUAUUGGUCAAUGGACGAGAGUCUGAACCAGCCAAGUAGCGUGCAGGAUGACGGCCCUAUGGGUUGUAAACUGCUUUUAUAAGGGAAUAAAGUGAGUCUCGUGAGACUUUUUGCAUGUACCUUAUGAAUAAGGACCGGCUAAUUCCGUG
Molecule: ribosomal RNA, 497 nt
Filed under: uncultured bacterium
Lineage: Bacteria
Description: bacterial SSU rRNA
Rfam family: Bacterial small subunit ribosomal RNA
Source: RNAcentral